This 275-nucleotide unclassified non-coding RNA is filed under the name uncultured Pezizales. Its description in RNAcentral is "sequence contains ITS2". The record is from RNAcentral. Lineage: Eukaryota; Fungi; Ascomycota; Pezizomycetes; Pezizales.
AAACCUCCUCCCCCUUCGGGUUUUGUUACUAUCGUUGGGGGGUUUUGGCCUAAUGGGAUAGCGAUUGGCAAUUCGUUUCCCAAUGUCCUAAAUAGACGUAGACCCGCCUCCAGAUGCGACAGCACCGAGGCCAUCAACCGUGGAGUUAUGGGAUAUAAUAGGCUUGCAGUAAAAUGCUCACCUCUCUCCACACGCCGAUGGCACGACAGUUGCAGUUGCGGGCGUAAAUUGGAGCCCUUUUCAGGACCCUUGUGGCCUAGCAUCCACCAUACAUA